AGAGGAUAGAGAAAAGGGAAAGUAAAUAAAUAAAAGAGGAUGAGAACUACUUUAGCCUAUAGGAAGAAGUAAGAAGCUGACUGAAGUCCAAAGCCACUGAGAAGGGGGAUGAGUUUGAACGAAAAUUAUACAGCGCACCUGAAAAUUAUACAGCGCACCUGGGUGCGCCGCAUACCCGUCCAUCUCCGUCGUCCAUUUUAAAAAAGUCAAAAUCCGCGUCUAAUGGACGAUGGAGAUGGACGGGUGCGCGGCGUACCCGGGUGCGCUGAAUACGCUCUCGAGUUUGAAGGCCAAGAGAGUUUGCUUCAAGGCCAUUGAUGACACUUUUUCUAUAAGUGAUCUUUAGUAGUAUUUUGCUUUCAAAUAAAUGCUGCUAUAUUGCUUGCCCACUUCCUUUUUCAAUUUG
Molecule: long non-coding RNA, 406 nt
Filed under: Fragaria vesca (wild strawberry)
Lineage: Eukaryota; Viridiplantae; Streptophyta; Magnoliopsida; Rosales; Rosaceae
Description: long non-coding RNA (FVES_LNC000278)
Source: RNAcentral